UACGGAGGGUGCGAGCGUUGUCCGGAAUCAUUGGGCGUAAAGGGCGCGUAGGUGGCCCGGUCAGUUCGUGGUGAAAGCGCGGGGCUCAACCCUGCGUCGGCCAUGAAUACUGCCGCGGCUGGAGCACUGUAGAGGCAGGCGGAAUUCCGGGUGUAGCGGUGGAAUGCGUAGAGAUCCGGAAGAACACCGGUGGCGAAGGCGGCCUGCUGGGCAGUGCUGACAC
Molecule: ribosomal RNA, 223 nt
Filed under: uncultured bacterium
Lineage: Bacteria
Description: partial 16S ribosomal RNA
Rfam family: Bacterial small subunit ribosomal RNA
Source: RNAcentral